CAGCGUGAAUGACCAGUGCACCGUCCACUUGUCUUUAAAGGCCUUCAUCUGGUAACUGGCAACGACUCCAGAGUUCUAUGAAACAUGCUUUUAYGUACAUGAGAAAUUCAAAUGAGGUAAAGAAUUACCAAGGACAAACCACCCAGGAUGCCAGAAAAGAAGCAGCCUUGGCCACCAUACAGUUGGAGAGCUGACUAUUCUCCCUGAGGAAGAAGGAAACACUCCAGCCCACAUCUGCUGCUGUUCCUUCAAGAAGUUUGAAACCUUUGUGAAACAGACUUUAUUYAUUGCUGAAAUUUUAAAAAUGUUUUGAUGGGAACAAAGUUUUAGUUCUAUGUGUAGAUAAAGCUGGUGAUGUUUCAUGUUUUUAAAAUGUAUUCUUUUGAGGCAAUGAGUUUGCAUACAUUUUUAAAUUCCGCUUAAUGUGUUUUACAGUGUAAAUGUGUAMAAACUUGAUUGUUUUUGUAUUUCAUGUGUUUCAUUGGCCACAUUGACCUUUGGUUAGGUGCUAAGUAUAUUUAAUUUUUUUAAAUAAAACAUUGACCCAUGUGAACUUAAGGUAAGGGUUCAGUCUUACACUUCUAAUAACAAGGUUAUAAGAGUAAUUUAUUUAGCAAGGGAUCUCUU
Molecule: long non-coding RNA, 627 nt
Organism: Austrofundulus limnaeus
Lineage: Eukaryota; Metazoa; Chordata; Actinopteri; Cyprinodontiformes; Rivulidae
Exons: 3
Source: RefSeq, a predicted model, not a curated record